UACGUAGGGUGCAAGCGUUGUCCGGAAUUAUUGGGCGUAAAGAGCUUGUAGGCGGUUUGUCGCAUCUGCUGUGAAAACCUCAGGCUCAACCUGGGGCUUGCAGUGGGUACGGGCAGACUAGAGUGCGGUAGGGGUGACUGGAAUUCCUGGUGUAGCGGUGGAAUGCGCAGAUAUCAGGAGGAACACCGAUGGCGAAGGCAGGUCACUGGGCCGCAACUGACGCU
Molecule: ribosomal RNA, 224 nt
Filed under: uncultured bacterium
Lineage: Bacteria
Description: partial 16S ribosomal RNA
Rfam family: Bacterial small subunit ribosomal RNA
Source: RNAcentral